This 300-nucleotide long non-coding RNA is filed under the name Bos taurus (domestic cattle). Its description in RNAcentral is "long non-coding RNA NONBTAT020184". Lineage: Eukaryota; Metazoa; Chordata; Mammalia; Artiodactyla; Bovidae. The record is from RNAcentral.
GGGAGAGUAAUGUGGUGCCUGAAUCUGCUUUCAGCAAUCAUGCUUCUUUUUUGAAAAAGACCUAACCAUCUGGGGUAAAGUAAGUUGCUCAUGUCCCAUCUUCUCUAAGGGUAGAAACUGAGGCUAGAAAUCUUCCCUUCAUUUGCAGUAUUAAUGCUUUCCAUAAUUUGCAAUCUACCUUUUUCCUCCCCUUCAUCUUUAUAAAACCCCUCUAUUGUCUAGUAAUAAAAACACUAUGACUAGUAGUAAGCCCACCUCUUUUUUGUAAUUUUAGUUUUUUUAGGACUGUGUUCUUUAGAC